Molecule: non-coding RNA, 3624 nt
Organism: Phalacrocorax carbo (great cormorant)
Lineage: Eukaryota; Metazoa; Chordata; Aves; Suliformes; Phalacrocoracidae
Source: RefSeq, a predicted model, not a curated record
AUAAACACAAAGCCAAUUUGUAAUGCCAAGUCACUUUGUCCAGGUACUUUUAAACAUAUGUUUGCAAUUGCUAUCUCCUUUCUAAGUCCUGUUACUCAGAAACAUGUCUGCACUACUGUGAUCUUUUUCAAAAGUUCUCUUGUGUGUGGAGAAGCACAGAGAGGAGCUCAGAUAUCAUGCCUUCUAUGCAAGCUAUAUGAAUGUAUUGAGGUUUUGGAGCCCUCAUCUCACUGAGCGUGCAGCUCACAGAAGUGAUGUGACCUUGGUGCACGCCAAUCUUUGCUUCUCAGGAGAGAUACAGAUGCUGCAUCUAAGGAGGCCCUGGCUGGACAUAAAUUUCUAGAUCUCAAGCCCUAAUUCUCUGAUACGUGGAAGAGUAAAACUUGGGUCUUGCUCUGAGUGGACCUGGAAACACGCCAAAAGCAGGGUGUUGGAGGGGAGCCGUUCCUCCAAGGGGACUUUGAGAUCAACCCUUCAACAGGUAUGGACCCGGAACUGCAAAGAAACCGUGGGAUGAAUCAAGAUGAAUCACCCAGUGAUGGAGGUAAUUUCCCCUGUCAGCUGAACAAUGAAUCAGUUGCUAUUUUUCUCAUGGUAAAGAUGCCAUUUUGUAUGUGGUACUAAAUAAUGUUCCCUGCUAAAACCAUGAGGCUGAAUAAAGUGGUCAGUUUGUUACCAGCUUGCAGACUAACACACAGUAUGAAUUUCGGCAAUACAGCCUUCACUGUGAGCAAAUGGUGUCUAAUAAUUUGGAGGAGGAAGCCUGGCUCCAGGUCAGAAUACGUCUGAAAACACCGUCCUUUAGACAUGUAUGAACAAGCUGUUGCUUCAGAUGGAAGAACAGGCCCAUCACAAACCAAAUUUCCUAAAGUCUCUGUAGGUCCUGAAAGCAAACCCAGGACUCAGUUCUGCAAUAUGAGUCUGAUAGUAGGUGUUUUUAUCUGUCGGUGAUGCUGUAUAUUAAAAAAAAAAAAAGCAGAAUUAGGCAUUCCUUCAAAAAUAUUCAUAGACAUAGGAUGCUGCCUGUAUUUCUCUUAAUUGUAUUUGAAGUCCAUGUGUUGUAUAUUUAGUGCAUUAGCUGUGAUUCAACAUUAGUGGUGGGGAGAAAAGUUACUUCUUUUUGUCCCUCUCUCGAGAUAAGGAUGUAAAACCUGGUGAUGCUCUGGGCAGCUGGCUGCUUGUUUUCUGUCACUUCAAAUUAGCAGGCUGUGAUAUGGCAGGAGGGGAAAUACCAAAGCAAUACAGAGAAGUUGUGCUCUUGGGAUUGUGGGGGAGCAGGAGGAUAACCCUGGAGUUAAGCCAGGGAAUGGAGCAUCAGAGUGGGCUCGGGAGCACUCAGCCCAGCAGAAUAACCCCUGGAUCUCUUAUAGCCAUGCAUAAAUUUUCUGUGUUGCUGCUUUGCCACCUGUGAAAUAGCAGCCUCCUGUGCUUCAUGAGAGCUCUCCUGGCUGGGAGGUGCUGGCACAGCAAUGCUAGUGGGCUUCAGUGGCUCCUUGCUUAGAAGAAGGAGGAAAAUUGAGGAGGAGGAGGAGAUGGGGUGAGUCCCAAGGAUGUUUGCAUAAAGGGUCCGACCAGUUCCAUCUGUGUUACACAACCCUUCUUCUCUGGGUACAAAAUAGCUACCUUUGCUUGUGACUUGACCCAUUUGGGAAAUGUCCUCACCUCCUAGGUUUAAGGCUGAAAGAUCUGCAACACAGGAGCUUGUGCCCUUUAUUCAUUAUGUCACUUCCAGCAUUAGCUAAAUAAAGAAAAUCCUUGCUUCACUUAAAUUUAAAAUGACACCAAAUCAUGAUGCAAACUUGCAGUGGCAUUUAUCCUGUUAGCUGAUAUUUGCUAUAGGUGGAAGGGACUCAUAAACACAGUUGUCUUCAUGUCUCAGGCACAUUUCUCGGUGUUCCUUGACAGUUAUUAAGUGCAUUAAUUCUUCUGAUGCUAAUUUCUCUGUGUACUGAUGAAAAAUGCAUUUUUCCCAGGGAGUUGGCACUUGGCAAAUAUCUCGAUGGCAAUAAAUUAAAGUACGAACUAAGUUUCUGUUGCCAUGGUUUCUUCUCUGCUGAUACAAACAGUUACAGUAUCUUCAAUCCUGCAAGGGCAGAGAAGCAAAACCACAGCCCAAAACAUCUCAAUGCACGAAAUACUCUUCUCUCCUGGAUCUCUCUUGCAGUUUACCCUGCCGGUGCUCUCGCUCCUUGCAAGUCCGUGUACAAACAAAUUAUUCUUAUGCAGUCUCACUACUUGUCCAGACCCAGGAGGGCUCCAGGCCCCUAAGAUGUGAGAAGAAGAAAAUGGAUGUUGCUGAGGAGCGUGCCCACGCAUUGGAGCGCUUCCCUGAGCCUUUCGCAUGCUGUCACCCUGCUGCAAGGCAAACCUUGCCAACACUGCUUCCCUCUCCUGUAACCCACUGGGUGAUGAGACUAAAAGCAAAGUAGUUUAACUCAAAAAAUAAAGGGAGUAGGUUCGGUGUUUGGUGCCCUCAUGUUAUUUAAGUUUCCUGAGGCUUCCCAGUGCACAGAAAAUUCAGUGGAUCGACAGAGCUGUGCCCGGCUGUGGAGGUGUAGCUAAUGGGCCGCUUUCUGCAGCAACACCUUGCUGUUUCCCAAGUGGAGAUGACGCAGGGUGGUAAACUAGUGCUGCUGUUCCCAAAAGAAUAAGGAGAAGCCAUGGAGAUAGCAGUGGUCAGAAUAUGUCCUUAGACUCUGGAUGAAAGUAAAAUAUUGAUUUGACAGGACCUUCUGCUGCACCUGCAGUACUUCAGCUGUAGCAUCAUGCCAGUCCCAUAUGCCAGGAGAGCACUUCUCCAGCUGUACUGGAUGAGUAACUCUGGCUGGAGGAAAUGUAAGUCCUCAGGACCGCUGCUAUCUUCCAUCAAGCACUGAUGCUGCUAGCAGCUAAAUUCAGACAAGAUCAUGGACAGCAUAUGGAAGCAUCCUAACCAAAUCUUGCCAUUUAAAGCAAUAAUGGCAGCUGUCUCGAUCCAAGUUAGGCAAGAUCCUUAAGAUUGUCUACUGGCUCAUACAGCUGUGCAGGUUCCUCUAAUAUGUCUUUUCUCUCUCAUCUGAGCUCUACCUGCUACUGACCAGAACAGGUGGCCAUCACAUGGGCACCACUAUUUCACUGUUGACCUCUUGUCUUUGAAGGGAGCACAUAGAACACUCUGAGAAAUCAGUAUGUGCAUAAAUUUUACUGAGAAUGUUGUUAUUGAUGCAAAAUCACUCACCCAAGAAAAAACAGAACAAAUGCAGCUUCACAGAAUCUUGUUGCUUUCAGAAAAAAAAUUAUAAUGGAAAUGCACUGCAUGGCUGACCAGGUCUGUGCCGAGUUUCUCUCUUUGAUGGACUGGAAAUAGGUCUCUAGUCUACAGCUGGAGACAGGUUCUUUCUCCAUUAAAAAACAAAACAAAACAAAAAAAAGACUGCAAAUAAGCUGGGUAUUUUCUUUCUUUCAACUUGUGAUGGUAUCUUUGCUGCUGUAUAGAACCACAGUUCUGUCUAGUUUUCCUUCAAAGCUGUCUUAUUUUCUUAUUUUGUUGGUUUUAUUAAGGGAGUCUUUUUAGCUAUUUUUGUUUAAAAUUAUAAACCUAGACAAGAACUUCCAGUGAUAUUUUUAGCCCAUUUAAAUAUUGCU